GUGACUGCGUACCUUUUGUAUAAUGGGUCAGCGACUUAUAUUCUGUAGCAAGGUUAACCGAAUAGGGGAGCCGGAGGGAAACCGAGUCUUAACCGGGCGUUAAGUUGCAGGGUAUAGACCCGAAACCCGGUGAUCUAGCCAUGGGCAGGUUGAAGGUUGGGUAACACUAACUGGAGGACCGAACCGACUAAUGUUGAAAAAUUAGCGGAUGACCUGUGGCUGGGGGUGAAAGGCCAAUCAAACCGGGAGAUAGCUGGUUCUCCCCGAAAGCUAUUUAGGUAGCGCCUCGUGAAUUCAUCUCCGGGGGUAGAGCACUGUUUCGGCUAGGGGGCCAUCCCGGCUUACCAACCCGAUGCAAACUGCGAAUACCGGAGAAUGUUAUCACGGGAGACACACGGCGGGUGCUAACGUCCGUCGUGAAGAGGGAAACAACCCAGACCGCCAGCUAAGGUCCCAAAGUCAUGGUUAAGUGGGAAACGAUGUGGGAAGGCCCAGACAGCCAGGAUGUUGGCUUAGAAGCAGCCAUCAUUUAAAGAAAGCGUAAUAGCUCACUGGUCGAGUCGGCCUGCGCGGAAGAUGUAACGGGGCUAAACCAUGCACCGAAGCUGCGGCAGCGANGAUGUUGGCUUAGAAGCAGCCAUCAUUUAAAGAAAGCGUAAUAGCUCACUGGUCGAGUCGGCCUGCGCGGAAGAUGUAACGGGGCUAAACCAUGCACCGAAGCUGCGGCAGCGAACGUAUCACCCAAGACAACUUUACGGAGUUGACGAUUGACGGAGCGAAGCGACGUCAAAGCGUUCAUUAAAGUCGAGUUGGCUUAGGGAUACGUUCGUUGGGUAGGGGAGCGUUCUGUAAGCCUGCGAAGGUGGCCUGUGAGGGUUGCUGGAGGUAUCAGAAGUGCGAAUGCUGACAU
RNAcentral lists this ribosomal RNA (910 nucleotides) under Salmonella enterica subsp. enterica serovar Weltevreden. Its description in RNAcentral is "bacterial LSU rRNA". It matches the Rfam family "Bacterial large subunit ribosomal RNA", at positions 593 to 1303 of the family's 2925-position model. The record is from RNAcentral. Lineage: Bacteria; Pseudomonadati; Pseudomonadota; Gammaproteobacteria; Enterobacterales; Enterobacteriaceae.